UACGGAGGGUGCAAGCAUUAAUCGGAUUUACUGGGCGUAAAGGGCGCGUAGGCGGAAAGGCAAGUCAAAUGUGAAAUUUCGGUACUCAACAUCGAAGCUGCAUUUGAAACUGCUUAUCUAGAGUGUAGGCGGAGGAAACGGAAUUCCAUGUGUAGCGGUGAAAUGUGUAGAUAUAUGGAAGAACACCUGUGGCGAAAGCGGUUUCCUAGCUUACCACUGACGCUGAGGCGCGAGAGCGGGGGUAGCAAACAGG
RNAcentral lists this unclassified non-coding RNA (253 nucleotides) under uncultured Chlamydiales bacterium. RNAcentral describes it as "contains 16S-23S intergenic spacer region". It matches the Rfam family "Bacterial small subunit ribosomal RNA", at positions 524 to 776 of the family's 1533-position model. Lineage: Bacteria; Pseudomonadati; Chlamydiota; Chlamydiia; Chlamydiales. The record is from RNAcentral.